AGAGUUUGAUCAUGGCUCAGAUUGAACGCUGGCGGUAGGCUUAACACAUGCAAGUCGUGCGAGAAAGUACCUUCGGGUGCGAGUAGAGCGGCGGACGGGUGAGUAACGCGUAGGAAUCUACCUAAUAGAAGGGGAUAGCCCGGGGAAACUCGGAUUAAUACCGUAUACCUCCUUAGGGAGAAAGAGGGCUUAGCUUUGAUGCUCUCGCUAUUAGAUGAGCCUGCGUAAGAUUAGCUUGUUGGUGAGGUAAUGGCUCACCAAGGCGACGAUCUUUAGCUGGUCUGAGAGGACGAUCAGCCACAUUGGGACUGAGACACGGCCCAGACUCCUACGGGAGGCAGCAGUGGGGAAUAUUGGACAAUGGGCGCAAGCCUGAUCCAGCCAUACCGCGUGUGUGAAGAAGGCUUUCGGGUUGUAAAGCACUUUAAGUAAGGAGGAAAAGAUUGUAGUUAAUACCUGCAAUCCGUGACGUUACUUACAGAAUAAGGACCGGCUAAUUCCGUGCCAGCAGCCGCGGUAAUACGGAAGGUCCAAGCGUUAAUCGGAAUUACUGGGCGUAAAGCGCGCGUAGGUGGUUUUUUAAGUUGGAUGUGAAAGCCCUGGGCUCAACCUAGGAACUGCAUCCAAAACUAGAUGACUAGAGUACGAAAGAGGGAAGUAGAAUUCACAGUGUAGCGGUGGAAUGCGUAGAUAUUGUGAAGAAUACCAAUGGCGAAGGCAGCUUCCUGGUUCUGUACUGACACUGAGGUGCGAAAGCGUGGGUAGCGAACAGGAUUAGAUACCCUGGUAGUCCACGCCGUAAACGAUGACA
RNAcentral lists this ribosomal RNA (811 nucleotides) under marine metagenome. Its description in RNAcentral is "bacterial SSU rRNA". It matches the Rfam family "Bacterial small subunit ribosomal RNA", at positions 8 to 814 of the family's 1533-position model. The record is from RNAcentral.